AUGGACCUUCAAUUUGCUGAGUUGCCUCUCACCUGUGAAACGCUGGAGCUAGUCAUUGCACUGCAGCCACAGUUGAGACAAGACUUUCCCUUACUCCCCUUGGUGAUUCCUGACUGGCUCAUCACCGUACAUUCCUUCCCCAUACCUCCUCCCUUCCUUCCACCUACCCCCCUCCCCUCCCUCCAUCCCCUCCUCCAUCCCCUGUCUAUCAUCAUUUGCACGCACUGGUCCAUGGCUACCUUUCUUCCUCCAUCCUCUUUCCCCUCCUCUCUACACCUACUCUUUCCUUCUGUCACUUGCACGCACCGUUACAUUUCUCUCUACCUUUCCUCUUCCCUGGUUUCUCCUUCCUCUCUUUUCCUCCCUCUCCAUCUCUCGCACGCACCGUCUUAUUUCUGCCCCCCCCCCCUCCCUCUUCCUCUCUCUACUAACAUGGGAUCAUGACAGCUACCUUCCCGGUGGUGAUCCUGUUAAGGGAAGCUUUCCUGUUAAAGGGAAAUUUCCUGAACUAAAGCUGUCAAAUAGGGGAUGCUAUUACACUGGAAAAUUCAUUAAUCUCCAUUAAGUUUUUAUAAUUGAGGUCAUGAUGAUAACGUCAUGUUGCAUUAUGCAAUUUCCUAGUCAAGUCAAAAGAAAGUUUCCAAAAUUGGAAAUACUCUUGAAAAAAAAAAUACUCUAGCUUUAUUUAUAGUUCAGAUUAGCCGAUUCAGUGACUUCAAACUCGAAAAUGUUUAAAAUAUGAUUUUUUUUGUGCUCAAAACAUUGAAGUGGUUAGAAAUUGCCUCAGACUUCACCACUGAGCAUCUAAAAUCCAAGAUUUCCCAGACACCUUCUGUGACCCCACGCUAUUAGGGCUUCUCACUCAGUUGCUUUAGUUAUGAUCAAAGCAUACCCCCCCCCCCCAGCCACUGAUACAAGCCCAGCAGCUUGAUAGCUUCUAAUAUUGCAUUCCAUCGACACUCAUAAAAAUGGGUUCUUUCUGCAAAACAUUCAUUCCUCCAAGUAGCAUCGAUCAAUCACAAGUUACUUUUGUUUGAAAUGAGUGGAAGAUGUUCUUUUCAGACAUAUUUUUAAAUUCUUUUGUUCCUAAAAAUACUACAAAAUCAUUAAUUUAGGUAAUUUCUUUCUGACUCACCCUGUAUGUAUCGCACAAUAGUGAACAAAUACCCCCUUACACGCGCUGAUCCAGUACGGUACACGUGCCAAGUGAGUGUUAUUGAGUUUUCCACCAGCCUGGCGAGUGGCAUUGUGUUGCACUGCAAAAAGCCUGCAAAAUAAUCAUCUCUCCUAAGGAUUUUGACUCCAAGAACAGAGGCCUCAUCACGAACAAUGACUCAUCAAGGAUUCAUUGCGGACCAGGACCAGCGUAGUGCUUGAAGUUGAUGAUCGAACCUGGUGAGAAUGAGACGGCUCUUUUAAAAAUCAUCCGCCAUGACCGCACCUGUCUGUGAGGGAUGAGGCACCAUCCUGAGGUCAUCAUCACAUCUUUUCUGGCUUCUCUCAGGAUGAUCGAGUGCUCCAAAUUGAAGAGACUGAUCUUUGCAAACCAUGCUGAGGCUGGAUUGGACCAGACCAGUGCCUAGACUAGGCAGGACAGGCUGGAUGACCAUCACCAUGGUGACUGGGAUGACCUUAAGGGUGAGUCAAACCAAGAAUGCAACCUGCUCCAUCAAAACUCAUCACAAUGUGCACCAAACAACCUCCUUUGUAAAUGACCAUAAUUCUCUCAUUUAUUCUUGUGAAUUGGAGUUUGUCCUCAAUGUUCUGAUUGAAAGAAAUUUGAUACUUUUCAUGACAGCAUCAUGGAAAAUACAUUGUAAUUUGAAGAAGAAAGAGAAAUGAGAAUAAUUUCUAAGCAAUGGUCAUGACAGUCAUUUCUGAAAGACAGGAAUUGAAAGUUUCCCUUCUUGAAAGAUUGCUGUGUGAUUUGAUAUACAUCAAAUCAAGAAAUUUCAUUUGUGUGAACUGUCAAAGAGAAACCUAAUUAUUUGCAGUACAUGUAAGUGUCCAGUGACUUUCAUAGCGGUUUGCAAGCAGAUGGAAUUGUCGCAAAGCUCUUGCAGUCCGGUGCACAUGUUGUUAAUAUGAUGGAGCAGGUUUUCAUAGGAGAGAUUGAAGUGAAAAAUACAGUUAUGAAUUGAAAAGUUUUUUAUUUAAAGACAUACAGGAUCAUUUUGCAUUUGACCCUCAAUCAACCUAACACAAUAUAUUUAAAUUGCUUACUUGGAUUAAGGAUAGUACUGGUACUACAUGUAAACGACCCGUAAAUUCUAUCUGGCAUGCUGUCAUUUCAAAUGCAAUCCAGAAAUGAAGGUGCUUUCCAACAAUCAGCCAUUUGACUGUUUUUUGGGGAAUAAAGAUUGCUAUUGACAAAAUAGUGUGUAGUGAUCAAAAGGUCCUGCUUUACUGUUUUCUUGAAAUGUGAAAUAAUUACAGAGCUGAAAGUUCAACUGAUUAGGUUUUGAACACUCUUCUUUUGAUUGUGUUGAUGUUAUUGUUGGAAACAAAGAAAAUGCAUGAAUAGCAAAUGAUCCUUUAUGCCUUUUUUAGUUGUUGCUUUAUUAGUUUUAAAAUUUUCCAUAGCAAAUUGUACACACAUACUCUAUAUCUUUGGUUGCUAGAAAAGAUUAAUUUUCAUUUGUUUCAUUUUCAUAUUGAUUUCAUUUUGUCGUAAAAAAUUAUGACUUUAUUAACCUGAUAAUAUCUGGUUCUGAAAACUGAAAUAUGUGAAUAGAUUUUUUUUUCUGAGCAUGCGAAAAUGUAGUUUCUGUUGCUGCAAAUGCCAUUUUAUCCCAACGGUUCGGUCUUUGAUGUUGAGAACAACAUUUCAACAUUCGGGAGGAAUGUAGUUAGCCAAACUAAGUAUUUCCUAACAAAAUUGGAAACAUUUCACAGUCCCAGAUUCACGUCUUUUCAACAUGUUUGCAAUGAAUGACCUUUAGUGAUAUGAGGAAAAAGUGGCAUUAAGUUGCAACAUUCUGCCUAAACAUUCUUAAAUCAUUGAUGGAAAAGUUAAGACACUUUAAAUCUCUGAGCUACCUGAAGGUUGAAGAUUUUAGUCAAGGAAACAAAACUGUCUUAACUAUUAACUUUAAUAUUGAUAAUAAUUUGGUGACAGAUAAUGAAGUGAAAAUGUUUCUUGUUUCUGCAAAUGAUUGAGAUUGAUGAUAAAUUUGAGAAAGCCAUGCUGUUAUGUUAGUGAAUUGUAGGUGCCAGUCUGGAUCAGGAUAACAUGUAGCUGACAAUAAGUUCAAUAUGUGUUGCUUUUCCUUUCAAUCUAUGGCUAAAUUUUGGCUUCCUUUCUAAAUACCCCCAAAUUUCCUAAAUUCCUCAUUCUCUAUGUUACACCCAUUUUUCUCGCCAACUUAACCAUCAGUUUGCUAUUGCAAUGCAACAACCACAGCUCUGCAUUUAAGCCAAAAGAAACAUCAAAACUGAAACCAAAAUCAAGCUAUGUGAAGCUGAAUCUCAGUGUCUUACAGUGCAAUUCCUCUGCCUGUAUCUCCUCUGCUAAACUGUAGUUCUUUUUCAUCUUACAUCUAAUUGCAACACAACCAAAAGCUCAACUUUUAUCACAUGCAAAGUACAUACACCUGUGUUUCUGUGCAAAACUUUGCACUUAUUUAUUUUUCAAACCAAAGGAUGUCUUUGGGGUGCUCUCAGAAGGUAUUGGAAGCCAUUUAAGUGCAAUCAUUAAUAGGUCAUAAUUUUUCGAAGACUACUUAAAUACAAAUGUAUAUUAAAGAUGCUAGGGGCGUUCGCGUAGUUUGUCGGUCUUGUGCACACAAUUUUUAUUACUGAAUGUCAGUGGUCGUUCAUAUUGUGGUAGACCUGGUCAUGUAAGCUGUUUGCUAGCCAUCUCUGAGAGUCAACCCCUCCCUUCCUUUUGGGCAACCAUUUCUUUGGUACUCUGCCCUCAGUAUUUAUUCUUUAUUCAUCUCUUUACUCCAUCUUUCUUAGGCUUUUUGCCUCCAUUCUUGUCUGAUCUUGUUUCAAUUCAUUUCAGUAACUUUUAUGUCCAUCUAAAGCAGAGUAAAAGAACCAUGAGAACAAUAAGUUUCUAUAUAAAGAUGGAGGCAUUGUUUUAAAAUCUAAAGUUAAUAGGGGCACACCUUAUAUUCCUAGACUUU
Long non-coding RNA from Patiria miniata (bat star), 4130 nucleotides. RefSeq lists it as uncharacterized. The record is from RefSeq and is a predicted model, not a curated record. The transcript is spliced from 2 exons. Lineage: Eukaryota; Metazoa; Echinodermata; Asteroidea; Valvatida; Asterinidae.